Molecule: ribosomal RNA, 317 nt
Filed under: uncultured alpha proteobacterium GE18
Lineage: Bacteria; Pseudomonadati; Pseudomonadota; Alphaproteobacteria
Description: bacterial SSU rRNA
Rfam family: Bacterial small subunit ribosomal RNA
Source: RNAcentral
AAACUUGAGCUAAUACCGGAUACGUGCGAGAGCAGAAAGAUUUAUCGCCGAAGGAUUGGCCCGCGUCCGAUUAGCUAGUUGGUGAGGUAAUGGCUCACCAAGGCGACGAUCGGUAGCUGGUCUGAGGGGAUGAUCAUGCCACACUGGGACUGAGACACGGCCCAGACUCCUACGGGAGGCAGCAGUGGGGAAUAUUGGACAAUGGGCGCAAGCCUGAUCCAGCCAUGCCGCGUGAGUGAUGAAGGCCCUAGGGUUGUAAAGCUCUUUCGCCAGGGACGAUAAUGACGGUACCUGGAUAAGAAGCCCCGGCUAACUUC